CAAUAGCGUAUAUUAAAGUUGUUGCGGUUAAAAAGCUCGUAGUUGGAUUUCUGCUUGGGACAACCGGUCCGCCCUCUGGGUGAGUAUCUGGCUUGGCCCGGGCAUCUUCUUGGGGAACGUUACUGCACUUGACUGUGUGGUGCGGAGCCCAGGACCUUUACUUUGAGGAAAUUAGAGUGUUUCAAGCAGGCACACGCCUUGAAUACAUUAGCAUGGAAUAAUAAGAUAGGACCUCGGUUCUAUUUUGUUGGUUUCUAGAGCUGAGGUAAUGAUUAAUAGGGAUAGUUGGGGGCAUUAGUAUUUAAUUGUCAGAGGUGGAAUUCUCGGAUUUGUUAAAGACUAACUUAUGCGAAAGCAUUUGCCAAGGAUGUUUUCAUUAAUCAAGAACGAAAGUUAGGGGAUCAAAGACGAUCAGAUACCA
Molecule: ribosomal RNA, 421 nt
Filed under: uncultured eukaryote
Lineage: Eukaryota
Description: SSU rRNA
Rfam family: Eukaryotic small subunit ribosomal RNA
Source: RNAcentral